This 512-nucleotide ribosomal RNA is filed under the name uncultured bacterium. RNAcentral describes it as "bacterial SSU rRNA". It matches the Rfam family "Bacterial small subunit ribosomal RNA", at positions 34 to 518 of the family's 1533-position model. The record is from RNAcentral.
CGCUGGCGGCGUGCCUAAUACAUGCAAGUCGAACGGUCUUUCUAUGGAAGCUUGCUUCCACUGAGAAGAUAGUGGCGAACGGGUGAGUAACACGUGGGUAACCUGCCCAUAAGAGGGGGAUAACAUCCGGAAACGGGUGCUAAUACCGCAUAGUUUUCUUGAUCGCAUGAUUGAGAAAGGAAAGACGGCCUUUGUGCUGUCGCUUAUGGAUGGACCCGCGGCGUAUUAGUUAGUUGGUGAGGUAAUGGCUCACCAAGACGAUGAUACGUAGCCGACCUGAGAGGGUGAUCGGCCACAUUGGGACUGAGACACGGCCCAAACUCCUACGGGAGGCAGCAGUAGGGAAUCUUCCGCAAUGGACGAAAGUCUGACGGAGCAACGCCGCGUGAGUGAAGAAGGUUUUCGGGAAUCGUAAAACUCUGUUGUCAGAGAAGAACAAGUUGGAGAGUAACUGCUCCAGCCUUGACGGUAUCUGACCAGAAAGCCACGGCUAACUACGUGCCAGCAGCAGC